UCUAAUCUGAUUCGAGAAGCUGUUUUCGAGUCUGCCUGCACACUCAGGCGCAGUGGUAACUUAGCAAGUAACUCUGGGUAGGAGAGUGGUGUGCCUGGUCAUUACAUUGUCAUAACGUUACAAACUUCAGUCAGAUGUCCCACACGGGGACCAUAUGAAACAAAGUAAGCUCCUGGUUACUCGUCAAGGAUGAAACUCGCAGUCGUCUUCCUUUUGGGUUUACUCAUUUCCAUGGUGAUGUUUGAGGGAGCCAUGUCCCACCGCCGCUGUCGUCGACACAGACGUCACCGUCAUUCCAGCAGCCCAAGUUACAGUCAUCACCAUCAUCGCCAUGGUCACCAUCACCAUGGACACCACGGUCAUCAUCAUGGUCACCAUGGACAUCAUCAUCAUCAUCAUGGAAAAUAGCAAUGGGUGGUUCUGACAUCUUGCCAAGUGUACAGUGUACCUUGACUGUCUACAGCCAAUAAAUAUAUUAAAACAUGUU
Haliotis rufescens (red abalone) is the source of this 487-nucleotide long non-coding RNA. RefSeq lists it as uncharacterized. The transcript is spliced from 4 exons. The record is from RefSeq and is a predicted model, not a curated record. Lineage: Eukaryota; Metazoa; Mollusca; Gastropoda; Lepetellida; Haliotidae.